UGAAGCUGGAGAAGAACGAAAGGACGCCUUACAUCAUGAAAACCACCAAGCACUUCAAUGAUGUGCGUAUGGGCAGCAGCAUCUUUCUCUGCCCAGAGUUUCUUCAGCAGGACCCUCAAAGGGCUGAGUGGAGGGCAGGCUGUACACUGGCAGGAGCCAGGCCACCUGGGUCCUCUCUGGUGUCCCCACCCUCAGCCAUAUAACCUUGGGCUGGUGACUUCAGUCUCAGUUUCUCCGCCUAAUAAAUGGGCUGACCACUGAAAGGUCACAUGACAAUUAACAGGGACAAUCAGAGAAAGACACUCAGCCCAGCCUUGGUUCCCGGGGAGCCCUCCCUCAAGCCUGUGAUUACUGAGAGGAGUCACCUGAGAGCAGAUGUGGUGAUGUGCCUGAUGGAAAGGAAGGAAGGAAAGGGUUGUGCUUUUGCUGUGCUGCUUACCUUUUAACCUCAACUCAGUAUCAGAAACAAGGACUGUUAGGCUGGGGAAUGGCAGACAACCUCCCUCUAAUGCAUACACACAUUACCCAGCACCCUCCGAAAUUCCUGAAAUGUUGGCUAGGGGCUUAAAGUACCCUGGAAGUGAUGAAAUGAUGUUCUUACCACCCUCUUGACUUUCAUGAUGGUUAACUGGACCCCACAGGAUCACAUUAAAGAGACCAGAGACCCAGAACCACUAAGGGGCAAGGCUGGGUUGAAGCCAAGGGCUUGUAAGUGUCCCUGGGCAAGAUCAAGAUGGCCUGGUAUCUGACUCCGCCAGUCUCUGUCUCCUACUUUAUCCCCUACUCCCACCCCCUAUGCUUUCUUGGGGAUGAACUGUAGAGAUACCAAAACAGCAAAGCAGCCCCGUGUACAUAGCACAAAGGACCUGGGCUAACUCUGAUUAGGACACUAAGAUCAGACAGGAGCAUCCCAUAAACCCAGCUCCUAGAAGCCCAUCUCAGAAAAACAUGAGAGCAGCAGAGAUCAGAGGGCAAACAGGUCUCAGUCUGCUAAGGCAAAAGUCUCUUCAGCAUGGAGUGUUGGCAAAGUUCCCUGUAGUAGUUGCCCCUGGUUGAGUUCCUGCCUGGUGCCUAGCACUGCGCUUUACAUGCAUAAUAAUCUCAUUUAAAGCUCACACCAAGCCUAAGGGAUGGGGGCUGUUCUCACAUUUGAGACACUGAGAAGCUGAGGCUCUAGCAGAGUGUGUGGCCGAGCAUACCUCCCGUGCCUGCACUGUGGAAGAUGGCCCGUGUGAGAAAAUCUCUCUCCCAGCAACUUCUCCAUAUCUGCUCAAGGUCUGCCCACUGGAUCCUUGGGACCCAUCCACACCCAACCUCGUAAUAGCUCUGAGAGCAAUUUGCACUCAGCAUCUUCAUUCCUCUGAGUUUAAUCAUCAACCUAAGAGCCUUUGAUGGGUGGAGGUGGGAGCACAUGAUUCCACUUAUCCUGACCGCCUGCCAGGGCUCUACGCAUUAACCUCAGCAGGGGAUGGGCCCCCAGGCACACACAGCCCAUCCUGGGUGGGUCCUUGGCAGCCAGGAGGAACAGAAAAGACCCACUAUUACAGCAGAGGGGAGGAGCCAUCUGGAGCCUUCCAGUCCUGGGCACCAGGUGGUUUUCUGCCCUGAACAGAGAGCAGAAUGGCUACCCCUGUGUCUCCCAGGACAGAGAGCAAUGGAGACCAGACAAAGCUUUAGCAAACAGGCUGCUAGAGGCCUGGGUCUGACCAUGCCUUACACACACGUGCACAGUGCCAGGCAGCCCGACACUGUCCUCUCCUUGUGCUGUCCCACUGUAUGCACAGGACUGUUUAGGACAAGACAAGAACACAAACUGAUCAUUCACUUUUUACUGUGUGACAGGUGCUAUGCUAUAAGGGUUUCAUAGACAUCAUCUCAUUUACUUUGCUAUUCUCAUUUUAUAGUGGGAGAAACUGAGACUCAAGGAAGUUAAAUUGCAUCGCCCACAUUACACAGCAGGAAAGUCCCCUCUGAACCCAGGGACAGCCUCCAGAGGCUGCCUCGUCACUCCUUGGCACUUGGCCAUCUGUGUUUAAAUCAUUCUGUAUCCUGAGACACAGAAUGUGUGUCUCGAUGACGGUGGCUUUCUUAAUGUCCCCCAGGAACAGUUCUCUUUGCUAUUUUCCAGCCCUUCUGCCUUCCAUGUCUUCGUCCUUCUGACUGGUACUAGCUAAGAUCUCCAGCAUGAGGGCUAGACCUGGGGGAGACAAGCAAGGUGGCCAGGGUGCAAAGCUUAAGAAGCCACUCACCCUCCUGGCAGUUGCACAUUGGGGCCUCAGGUGCCUCAUCCUCGUCCCCAUGCUUUCCAGGACAAUGUGGAAUGGACACAGUGACAGGUGUCUUGUUCUUAGUGUUAAAGGGAAUGUUUCUGCUAUUUCCCCAUGUAGGAUGGUGUUUGCUCUUCUAUCAAGGUUUUUUUUUAAAUCCUUUCUACUCCUGUGUGCUAGAAGUUUUUCCCAUGAUGAAUAUUGACUCUGUGUGUGUGUGUGUGUGUGUGUUACUGACGAUUAAACCCAGGGCCUCACGCUUUGAGCUACAUCCCCAUGUUUUAUUUAGUUUGAGACAGAGUCUCAUUAAGUUGCCUAUGCUGGACUUCUUGAACUUUUGAUCCUCCUGCCUCAGCCUCCUGAGUAGCUGGGAUUGCAGGCAUGCACCAGCAUGCCUAGCUGGAUAUUGAUUUUUAUCAAGUAUUUUUCCUCCUGCUAUUGAAAUGGUCAUGUGGUUUUUUUCCUUUAGUCUAUUGAUAUGGUAAAUGACAGUUACACUCUUUUUUUCUAAUAAUCAAAGAUCUUUUCGUCCCAGGGACAAACCCAAUGUGAUUGUGGUGUAUAAACAGAUAUGUCAUUUCCUUUCUUGUGCUGUCCAUCUCUGGUAUUGGUAUCAAGGUAAUGCUGGCAUCAUAGAAUAAAUUAGCAGGUAUUCUCUUUCUCUUUCUUCUUAAAAAAAAAAAAUAGUAUUUCUGAGCCCAGUGGCACACACAUGUAAUUCCCAACAACAGAAGGCUGAAGCAAGAGAAUAUCAAGUUCAAGACCAGCCUCAGCCACUUAGUGACACCCUGUUUCAAAAUAAAAAAUAAAAAAGUCUGGGGAUGAAGCUCAGUGGUAAAGAGCCCCUGUGUUCAAUCCCCAAUACCAAAACAUACAAAAUAAC
Molecule: long non-coding RNA, 3150 nt
Filed under: Marmota monax (woodchuck)
Lineage: Eukaryota; Metazoa; Chordata; Mammalia; Rodentia; Sciuridae
Source: RNAcentral